UGAGUCAUCAGCAGCAGGUUGUGUUGCUGAAGCUGAGUAUUGUGGAGUCAUCAGCAGCAGGUUGUGUUACUGAAGCUGAGUGUUGUAGAGUCAUCAGCAGGUUGUGUUACUGAAGCUGAGUGUUGUGGAGUCAUCAGCAGCAGGUUGUGUUACUGAAGCUGAGUGUUGUAGAGCCAUCAGCAGCAGGUUGUGUUACUGAAGCUGUGUUGUAGAGUCAUCAGCAGCAGGUUGUGUUACUGAAGCUGAGUGUUGUAGAGUCAUCAGCAGCAGGUUGUGUUGCUGAAGCUGAGUGUUGUAGAGUCAUCAGCAGCAGGUUGUGUUACUGAAGCUGAGUGUUGUGGAGUCAUCAGCAGCAGGUUGUGUUACUGAAGCUGAGUGUUGUAGAGUCAUCAGCAGCAGGUUGUGUU
Molecule: long non-coding RNA, 407 nt
Organism: Austrofundulus limnaeus
Lineage: Eukaryota; Metazoa; Chordata; Actinopteri; Cyprinodontiformes; Rivulidae
Exons: 5
Source: RefSeq, a predicted model, not a curated record